RNAcentral lists this ribosomal RNA (806 nucleotides) under Ambrosiozyma philentoma. RNAcentral's name for it is "LSU rRNA". It matches the Rfam family "Eukaryotic large subunit ribosomal RNA", at positions 77 to 906 of the family's 3401-position model. The record is from RNAcentral. Lineage: Eukaryota; Fungi; Ascomycota; Pichiomycetes; Pichiales; Pichiaceae.
GCCUUAGUAGCGGCGAGUGAAGCGGCAAGAGCUCAAAUUUGAAAUCUGGUACCUUUGGUGCCCGAGUUGUAAUUUGAAGAUCACAAUCUUGAAAUUGGUCCUUGUCUAUGUUCCUUGGAACAGGACGUCACAGAGGGUGAGAAUCCCGUGCGAUGAGGAUACCUUUUUCAUUUAAGAUGUGUUCGACGAGUCGAGUUGUUUGGGAAUGCAGCUCAAAGUGGGUGGUAAAUUCCAUCUAAAGCUAAAUAUUGGCGAGAGACCGAUAGCGAACAAGUACAGUGAUGGAAAGAUGAAAAGAACUUUGAAAAGAGAGUGAAAAAGUACGUGAAAUUGUUGAAAGGGAAGGGUAUUUAAUCAGACUUGGUAUUUAGCUAUCUCUUCUCCUUGUGGGAGGGGCUCUAGCUUUUUACUGGGCCAGCAUCAGUUUUGGUGGUAAGAUAAUCGCAGUUGAAUGUGGCUCUUCGGAGUGUUAUAGCUUCUGUUGAUGUUACCUACCGGGACUGAGGUCUGCGGCUUUUGCCUAGGAUGCUGGCGUAAUGAUUAAACACCGCCCGUCUUGAAACAUGGACCAAGGAGUCUAACGUCUAUGCGAGUGUUUGGGUGUAAAACCCGUACGCGUAAUGAAAGUGAACGUAGAUCAGGGCCCGUAUGGGUGCAUGAUCGACCGAUCCUGAUGUUUUCAGAUGGAUUUGAGUAAGAGCAUAGCUGUUGGGACCCGAAAGAUGGUGAACUAUGCCUGAAUAGGGUGAAGCCAGAGGAAACUCUGGUGGAGGCUCGUAGCGGUUCUGACGUGCAAAUCGAUCGUC